Molecule: long non-coding RNA, 1968 nt
Organism: Antechinus flavipes (yellow-footed antechinus)
Lineage: Eukaryota; Metazoa; Chordata; Mammalia; Dasyuromorphia; Dasyuridae
Exons: 3
Source: RefSeq, a predicted model, not a curated record
AUAUAUGAAUAUAUAUAGAUACCUGUGUAUACAUACACAAACAAUCAUGCACAUACAUAGCCAUGUGUAUCUCUGUGUGUGUACUACAAACCUAUGCAUAUAUGCCUGUGCAUGUAUACAAAUACACAUGUGUGUAGACAGACAUCUAUAUGAGGAAAUAAUUUAUAUAUAUGUAUAUAUACCUAUACACACAUCACUAUCUAAAUCCCAUAAUAUAUAUGUGCAUAUGUGUAUUAUUGCUGUAUAGAAACUGGCUAGGUCCAAGAGAUGGGCUCUGUUACUUUACUGGUUUGGCUAAAGUCCUUUCACUUGGCUGAAUCUCAGUUUUCUCACCUGUAAAAAGGGAUCAAUCAUACCUGUAUUGCUUAUUUCAACAGGUUGUUGGGAGGAUUGAAUAAGGCAAAGAGUUUUGUGAACCGUGACGAGUUCUAUAAAUCAAAGCUAUUAUUGCUUUCAGUGGAAAAAGACUUGGACCAUUAGCUUGUUACUGAAGAGUUUCGUGACCUUGACGAAAUCAUUUGACCUCUGUAUUAAGAGUUCUUAUAGCCAUCCAAUGAUGGAUACCUACUGGCUUGUUCUGAGAAUGUCAAUGAAACAUUAGCUGCAUCAAGGCUUUGAAAGCACCAUAUUAAGGUUAACAUUUUAUUAGCCACUCUUUUCUGUACACAUGAUGAAGAUUGUAGAUUUUAAUCUCACAGAAGUAUGAAGAGAGGUGAAUUAAGCGGGGAAAUAACUGGAAUCUGUAUCAGGAAAAUUAUGUGGCACCCUUUGAUAUAAACACUAUACCUGUCUACAUAGCAGUUUCCCUUUUUAUGGUAGGAGCUGAAGGACUAUGAAGACACUUGACCUUUAAGGUUGUUGACCUUUAAGGUUGUUCUUUAAUUAGAGUGAAGAUGCUGAAAAUGUGGUGAUAUUAUUUUAUCAUAUCUAUAGUAUCCUCAUAGUCUUAUAAAGGUCUUCCAGUCAAAUACAUGGACUCUUCUUCAUUCUACCCCCACAGUACAAUUUCAGGGCGUGUAUAGAUAUUCUCUCUGACUCCCGGGACUUUCAAGGAAAUUUGGAUAUUCAUAAAUAUCUUUUGCCUACUUUUUGUUAUAUAUAGCUAGGUUCAGUCACUCCAUCUUCCCCUCGUCAGAAGUUAAAACUUCUGACGGGGUGCCACACAAGAGCAGAAGAGGUAGCCUCUGACUGAUUUGUUUUUCAAGGUAAUUGUCAAAAAAAAAUUGGAAUGAUGUCAGUCAGGGAUAGAAGAAGGAAGAAGCCUUCCCUACCCUAGAUAAGGAUGGACCAGGAUGUUCUGGUGUCCGCUCUCCCCACUUGGAAAGUGGACUCAUUCAGCCAGGCUUAUUACAGGAGCCCCUGAUUUCUCAGUGUUUUCCUUUAUUCUAGCAUUGACAUAGUGACUGCCAACAACAAGGGGAGCAGUUGUGAUCAAAGCAGCAGGAGCAGGAUUGGGCAAAAUCCUUGCCUCUGGAAAGAAAGCACCUGAAAGGAGAUUCUGCUUGGUGUUUGAUGGAUUGUGCUCAAUGGAGAUGAAAGAAACAAUUGGGAUAGAAGCAGCUCCCAUUUUCUUAGAGUAGGAUCACAGUGUUGAAUCUGGAGAGACCUUUCCAAAUUCUUCAUUUUGCAGCUGAACAAAAUGAGAGUGUUGGGGAAAUGUCAACACAGAAAACGUGCUGAUUUUAAAAAAGAAAAGGAAAAAAGUUCUUUGGGAAGAUACACAAGAGCUGAUGCAGAAUGAAGGAAAAAAAAAACAGGAAAAGAAUAAUAUAAAUGGAAAGAAAAUAAAUUAAACUAAGCUGUGUUGAUGACUAAAUCCAAACUCCACCUGAUUAUAAUGACUAAAUGUGGUCCCACAAAAGAGAUAAGAAAAUACACCUUUUUCCUCCCUAGCAUGUAUAAGUGGCUGUGGAAUCAGAUUUAAUUGAUAUAUAGUUUCUCUUUUCAAUAAAAAUUUUUAUUCCCAAA